UACGAAGGUCCCGAGCGUUGUUCGGAAUCACUGGGCGUAAAGGGAGCGUAGGCGGCGCGGUAAGUCAGAUGUGAAAUCCCGGGCUCAACCCGGAACUGCAUCCGAUACUGCCGUGCUAGAGGAUUGGAGAGGUAGCUGGAAUUCUUGGUGUAGCAGUGAAAUGCGUGGAGAUCAAGAGGAACACUCGUGGCGAAAGCGAGCUACUGGACAAUAUCUGACGCUGAGCUCGAAGGCCAGGUAGCGAAAGGG
This 249-nucleotide ribosomal RNA is filed under the name uncultured bacterium. RNAcentral describes it as "partial 16S ribosomal RNA". It matches the Rfam family "Bacterial small subunit ribosomal RNA", at positions 524 to 776 of the family's 1533-position model. The record is from RNAcentral.